GGAAGUAAAAGCCGUAACAAGGUUUCCGUAGGUGAACCUGCGGAAGGAUCAUUAUUGGAUUUUGAAACUUCAGGCUGCUGCUGGCUCUCCUCGGAGGGCAUGUGCACGCUUGUUGUCCAUUAUUUCUCCCACUGUGCACAAAUUGUAGACCUUUCAGUAGGCCUAUGUUGUUUUUCAUAAUCUCUGAAUGUAAUAGAGUGGUUUUGAAUCUUGGGAAAUACAAUACAACUUUCAGCAACGGAUCUCUUGGCUCUC
This 255-nucleotide unclassified non-coding RNA is filed under the name plant metagenome. RNAcentral's name for it is "partial contains small subunit ribosomal RNA, internal transcribed spacer 1, and 5.8S ribosomal RNA". The stretch from base 1 to 54 matches the Rfam family "Eukaryotic small subunit ribosomal RNA", at positions 1778 to 1831 of the family's 1831-position model. The record is from RNAcentral.